Long non-coding RNA from Coregonus clupeaformis (lake whitefish), 465 nucleotides. RefSeq lists it as uncharacterized. The transcript is spliced from 3 exons. NCBI's taxonomy places the organism in Eukaryota, Metazoa, Chordata, Actinopteri, Salmoniformes, Salmonidae. The record is from RefSeq and is a predicted model, not a curated record.
UACAGGAAGUUCAGGAGAACGUUUAUACGAGCCGCUGAGCUGACACCCAGUAUUUUCCGCUCAACAACGUUUUAAACCACGUCUCAAAUUAGCAGAGAGCUGGCCUCAGCCCUCACCCAGGACAGACACAGAGAGAAUGCCCCCUCUCCCCUCCGGCUGUAUCUUUCAGUUUGCUGAAACUCCCGCAGGGGGCCGGACGGGGAAAGAACAACAAUGUGUCUGUCCCAGUGAUGACAUGGGUGCCUGGACUGCAUGUGACACAUGACACACUCUCAUUGAGCAACGGAAACAUGACCUUAUGACUGCACGGAGGGCUGCCAAAAUACUGUAAACCAAUGCCCAGAUGUCAAGUCUUGGUGCAGGGCAUUUGUACCAGAAAAUUCUGUGUUUUGGAGGAAACUAGGAAGAACGGAAUAGCACAUUUCCACAAAGGUUGCAAAACCAUAGCUAUUUUCACUUAGCCUG